This 251-nucleotide ribosomal RNA is filed under the name uncultured bacterium. RNAcentral's name for it is "partial 16S ribosomal RNA". It matches the Rfam family "Bacterial small subunit ribosomal RNA", at positions 524 to 776 of the family's 1533-position model. The record is from RNAcentral.
UACGUAGGUCCCGAGCGUUGUCCGGAUUUAUUGGGCGUAAAGCGAGCGCAGGUGGUUUAUUAAGUCUGGUGUAAAAGGCAGUGGCUCAACCAUUGUAUGCAUUGGAAACUGGUAGACUUGAGUGCAGGAGAGGAGAGUGGAAUUCCAUGUGUAGCGGUGAAAUGCGUAGAUAUAUGAGGAACACCGGUGGCGAAAGCGGCUCUCUGGCCUGUAACUGACACUGAGGCUCGAAAGCGUGGGGAGCAAACAGG